Molecule: ribosomal RNA, 432 nt
Filed under: uncultured bacterium
Lineage: Bacteria
Description: partial 16S ribosomal RNA
Rfam family: Bacterial small subunit ribosomal RNA
Source: RNAcentral
AGCGAACGCUGGCGGCAGGCCUAACACAUGCAAGUCGAACGGAUCCUUCGUGAUUAGUGGCGGACGGCUGAGUAACACGUGGGAACGUGCCCUUUGGUUCGGAACAACUCAGGGAAACUUGAGCUAAUACCGGAUGUGCCCUUCGGGGGAAAGAUUUAUUGCCAUUGGGGCGGCCCGCGUCUGAUUAGCUAGUUGGUGAGGUAACGGACCACUAAGGCGACGAUCAGUAGCUGGUAUGAGAGGAUGAUCAGCCACACUGGGACUGAGACACGGCCCAGACUGCAACGGGAGGCAGCAGUGGGGAAUCAUGCGCAAUGAGCGAAAGCCAGAAGCAGCCAUGCCGCGUGAAUGAUGAAGGUCUUAGGAUAGUAAAAUUCUUUCAGCGGGGACGAUAAGGACGGAACCCGCAGAAAAAGCUCGGGCAAACUACGG